CGUGAUUUCAUCGAAACUUAGAUCCCUUCGCCUAAAACUUAUAUCAUUUUCGGGUGCUCACAGUUAUCAGAGCCCUUGAAAAACCUAGAGCCAGCCUAUACAAAAAAUAAUUAUAUUAUAUAAUUUUUUCAGAAAGAAAUAGAACAACGGGCUUUCCGAAUUAGGAAGGGCUACUGCAGUUGAUCUUGCGGCGGAUAACACAUUCCCUAAAAGGAACACCGCGCCUAUUGGUGACUGACUAGAACAGGAUAAGGCGAAGAGGCGCCAUUAGGACUACGCUGCCGGCGUCGCCCUGCUUGCUCUGCUGGGACGCUCCCGUUAGUGGUAGGACGGUUUUAU
Molecule: small RNA, 339 nt
Filed under: Drosophila pseudoobscura pseudoobscura
Lineage: Eukaryota; Metazoa; Arthropoda; Insecta; Diptera; Drosophilidae
Description: GA32285
Source: RNAcentral